RNAcentral lists this long non-coding RNA (372 nucleotides) under Homo sapiens (human). Its description in RNAcentral is "non-protein coding lnc-RNFT2-1:2". The record is from RNAcentral. Lineage: Eukaryota; Metazoa; Chordata; Mammalia; Primates; Hominidae.
UGCUGCGCUGUGAGCACAGGAGCCAGACAGUCCUACAGUUCAACUCCAACAUCAGGGACUGAGUCGUACACAGGAAGAUCACUGAGUAGGUUCUGUGGAGACGCAGUCGGCCCAUAUGCACGUCACCACUCGGCUCCCAGCUCAGGUGCAGACCAACGGCGACCACUUGCUCCACUUUGCUCUGUGACAGCAGACGAGGUAAGGCAUGUUGCAGAUACAUGCUGAAUAUAGGGAUGCCUGUACACAAAACUGCACUCAUGCUGUGAUAACACGCAAAAGGUCACACACUGGAAGAGCCUUGCCCAACGAACGAUAGACUAACAGGCCAGAGGCGGGGAAAGCUUCUCGGAGUCCCACUAUCUUCUUUGUUUU